GUCUACGGCCAUGCCACCCUGAACAAGCCCGAUCUCGUCUGAUCUCGGAAGUUAAGCAGGUCAGGCCUGGUUAGUACUUGGAUGGGAGACCACCUAGGAAGACCAGGUGCUGUAGGCA
RNAcentral lists this ribosomal RNA (118 nucleotides) under Pteropus alecto (black flying fox). Lineage: Eukaryota; Metazoa; Chordata; Mammalia; Chiroptera; Pteropodidae. The record is from RNAcentral.